UAAAAAUUAUUGUCAAAAAGAACGAGAGAGAUACGUACAGUGGAAAUUUGAUAAUAAAUUAAAAUCAAUUGACCAGUUGACAGAACGUGAAAAACGAUGUCGGCGAAUAUUACAAAAUAUGUGGCAAAAAUUAUCACGGCUCAAGAAAACAGAACUCCAAACUUCAGCUCUGGACGAAAACAACAACGAGAUGAAUGACAACAACAAUAACAUUAAUAAAAAUAUCUCUAAACAGGCUUCGUUGUCUCGAUUGUCAACCUGGCAUAAUAUGUGAACAUUUCUCGAUGGGA
This is a long non-coding RNA of Polistes dominula (European paper wasp), 290 nucleotides long. Lineage: Eukaryota; Metazoa; Arthropoda; Insecta; Hymenoptera; Vespidae. The record is from RefSeq and is a predicted model, not a curated record.